UUUUAAUAGCUUAAUUUAGAGCACUGUGCUGAAGAUACAGAGGUAGUUUUGACUUUAAAAUAU
This 63-nucleotide transfer RNA is filed under the name Calopteron sp. UPOL A00631. RNAcentral's name for it is "tRNA-Phe". The record is from RNAcentral. Lineage: Eukaryota; Metazoa; Arthropoda; Insecta; Coleoptera; Lycidae.